RNAcentral lists this ribosomal RNA (478 nucleotides) under uncultured bacterium. RNAcentral describes it as "partial 16S ribosomal RNA". It matches the Rfam family "Bacterial small subunit ribosomal RNA", at positions 28 to 507 of the family's 1533-position model. The record is from RNAcentral.
GAUGAACGCUGGCGGCGUGCUUAACACAUGCAAGUCGAACGAGAAGUGAAGACGGAAACCUUCGGGCGGAAGGCUUUAUUUCGAGUGGCGGACGGGUGAGUAACGCGUGGGUAACCUGCCUCAUACAGGGGGAUAACAGUUGGAAACGACUGUUAAUACCGCAUAAGACCACGGCACCGCAUGGUGCGGGGGUAAAAACUCCGGUGGUAUGAGAUGGACCCGCGUUCGAUUAGCCAGUUGGCGGGGUAACGGCCCACCAAAGCGACGAUCGAUAGCCGAUCUGAGAGGAUGACCGGCCACAUUGGGACUGAGACACGGCCCAAACUCCUACGGGAGGCAGCAGUGGGGAAUAUUGCACAAUGGGGGAAACCCUGAUGCAGCGACGCCGCGUGAGUGAAGAAGUAUUUCGGUAUGUAAAGCUCUAUCAGCAGGGAAGAAAAUGACGGUACCUGAGGAAGAAGCCCCGGCUAACUACGUG